This 938-nucleotide long non-coding RNA is filed under the name Equus asinus (donkey). RNAcentral describes it as "lncRNA (ENSEASG00005030105.1)". Lineage: Eukaryota; Metazoa; Chordata; Mammalia; Perissodactyla; Equidae. The record is from RNAcentral.
AGACAACUCCGUCAGUGCUAUUUACACUCUGGACUAGCCUUUACCCGAGGUCACAUGCUUGCUGUCUCUUUCCCCUUCCCUGUCUUUUCCUCUGUCUCAUAUAGGUUUUUCCUAAAGAGAACUUUCACAGUAAAUCAUAUGUGCCUGAAUUCCUAUCUCAGGCCCUGCUUCUAGGGAAUUCUACUUAAGGUGGGCCCAAUGUAACGCAAGAAGCAGCAGGAGGCAAAACAAGACAGUAUAUGAGGGCUGCCCGCAGGAGAAAGAAUUGAUUGUCCAGGGCAUUAGUAGAUGGAAUGGGGCUAUGAGCCAAUGAAUGCUGGCAGCUUCUAGACUCUAGAAAAAGCACGGAGAUGGAUUUUCCCUUAGGACCUCCAGAAGGAAAGCUCUCCAUCAGACUUCUGACCUACAGAACUUUACCUGUGGUCAACCGUGGUCCAAAAUUAUUAAAUGGAAGAUUCCAGAAAUAAACAAUUUAUAAGUUUUAAAAUGCUCGCCAUUUUGAGUAGCAUGAUGAAAUUUCAUGCCGUCUUGCUCCUUCCUGCUCAGGACGUGAAUCAUCCCUUUGUCCAGCAUAUCUACACUGUAUAUGCCCUCUUUUUGUUUACAUUUCCUUUUCGACCACCCAUCUCCCUAGAUGCUUACGUAACUAAGAAGAAAAGCAAAAAUACCUCUCACUUAUAUUCUUACAUUUAUCCACCAGCUGCUUGCCUCUCUUGGAACCCUCUGUGGUCAAGCUGACACCAAAGGCCUCACAGGUGAGGGCAUGAAGACCAGCAAUUACCCUUUGAUCUUAAGAUCACUCCAUUACAUGUUUCUUUAUCUUCCUUUUUUGUUUCUUUUCUUUAUGUGAAACCAUAUGUGCUGUCAGGAUAAAAUCAUUUCACAUGUUCAAAGUAAACAAAACUGCUCAUUCUGGUCAAACAUGCCUCAGAAGUUUC